AGAAAUAUUAGCUAGAGUUCAGGAAGAAAAAGAGGGUUUAUGACUUUUGAAAGAAAGAGAAGACCACUCAGGAGAUCUACAAAUAUGUUGUGAGGCUGUGCAGGGAAAAAAUUAGAAGGGCCAAAGCCCAGCUGGAGCUCAAUCUGGCUGAUGCUAUUAAGGACAGAACCAAAUGAUUUUAUAAAUACAUAAACAAGAAAAGGAGGACUAAGCAGAAUCUCCACCCUUUGUUAGGACAGGGAAAGAUAGUGACAGGAGAUGAGGAAAGAGCUGAGGUACUUAGUGCCUUCUUUGCCUUUAGUAGUAGGACCAGUUGUUCUCUGGGUACCCAGACCCCUGAGCUAGAAGAUAGGAACAGGAAGCAGAGCGAAGCCCUCGUAAUCCAUGAGGUAAUUAGACCCGUAAGGCCAAUGGAACUGGACUGGUACCUUCUUUCUGAGGCUGGCACAAGCUUUUGUCAUUUGGAUGGUGGCAGGAGUACCAUUACAGUUACCAUGUAUCCAAGGAAGAUUGUUCAGAACAAUAGGAAAUUCUGAAAAGCAGAGAUGGGAGUUACUAGGAGGAAUUUGACUGAAGGAGCACCGUGGAGGCUGCUCAGCACAGGCGGCCGGGAAACUAAUUCUUCUCUGCAAUGGGAGAGCUGGAAAUGCUAUGAGGAUCUGCAUGACACAAUCAAAUAAAUGCAUGAGCAGAGGGCCCCAGAAGGUGAACUUUGUCUCAAAUGGAGAAGAGAGCUACUGUGGAGGAUGAAGGAGCUAGUAAUAUGCACAUGGAAUAUGCAGAAAAAUCUCUGUGUUACAUCUCCCAAGGCAGAAUGUGAAAUCCCGCUAUUACAGAGAAAAAAAAAAAAAGAGAGAGAGAGAAAAAGAAAAGGAAGGUGAAAACUUGGGAAGAAAACAUGGGAGGGAUGAACUGAGAACACAACUACUGUAUUUUCCUAUCUCUCUCUGAUCCGCUAUUGUUUGCACAUCGUCCCCCCACCCCAAACAGGCCUAACCCCUACUUAUCUG
This 1010-nucleotide long non-coding RNA is filed under the name Anas platyrhynchos platyrhynchos (common mallard). RNAcentral describes it as "lncRNA (ENSAPLG00000030161.1)". Lineage: Eukaryota; Metazoa; Chordata; Aves; Anseriformes; Anatidae. The record is from RNAcentral.